AUUGAACGCUGGCGGCAGGCCUAACACAUGCAAGUCGAACGAGUUGCGGACGGUUGAGUAAUUUCUGGGAAACUGCCUGAUGGAGGGGGCUAACUACUGGAAACGGUAGCUAAUACCGCAUACCAUCAGAUGUGCCCCGAUGGGAUUAGCUGGUUGGUGGGGUAACGGCUCACCAAGGCGACGAUCCCUAGCUGGUCUGAGAGGAUGACCAGCCACACGGGAACUGAGACACGGUCCAGACUCCUACGGGAGGCAGCAGGGGGGAAUAUUGCAAAAUGGGCGCAAGCCUGAUGCAGCCAUGCCGCGUGUAUGAAGAAGGCCUGCGGGUUGUAAAGUACUUUCAGCGGGGAGGCGUUACCAGAAGAAGAAGCACCGGCUAACUCCGUGCCAGCAGCCGCGGUAAUAC
This 406-nucleotide ribosomal RNA is filed under the name uncultured bacterium. RNAcentral describes it as "partial 16S ribosomal RNA". It matches the Rfam family "Bacterial small subunit ribosomal RNA", at positions 30 to 526 of the family's 1533-position model. The record is from RNAcentral.